UGCUGAUAUCGUUGUGGUCACACCUGUUCCCAUUCCGAACACAGCAGUUAAGCACAAUGGAGCCGAUGGUAGCCAUCAUGGUAAGAGUAGGUAAGCGUCACGC
Molecule: ribosomal RNA, 103 nt
Filed under: bacterium
Lineage: Bacteria
Source: RNAcentral